GCUGAGGGAUNAAGGCCUUCGGGUUGUAAACCUCUUUCAGUAGGGAAGAANCCGNCCCUUGGGUUGGUGACGGUACCUGCAGAAGAAGCGCCGGCUAACUACGUGCCANCAGCCGCGGUAAUACGUAGGGCGCAAGCGUUAUCCGGAAUUAUUGGGCGUAAAGAGCUCGUAGGCGGUUUGUCGCGUCUGCCGUGAAAGUCCGGGGCUUAACCCCGGAUCUGCGGUGGGUACGGGCAGACUAGAGUGCAGUAGGGGAGACUGGAAUUCCUGGUGUAGCGGUGAAAUGCGCAGAUAUCAGGAGGAACACCGAUGGCGAAGGCAGGUCUCUGGNCUGUAACUGACGCUGAGGAGCGAAAGCAUGGGGAGCGAACAGGAUUAGAUACCCUGGUAGUCCAUGCCGUAAACGUUGGGCACUAGNUGUGGGGGACAUUCCACGUUUUCCGCGCCGUAGCUAACGCAUUAAGUGCCCCGCCUGGGAGUACGGG
This 485-nucleotide ribosomal RNA is filed under the name uncultured bacterium. RNAcentral's name for it is "bacterial SSU rRNA". It matches the Rfam family "Bacterial small subunit ribosomal RNA", at positions 400 to 886 of the family's 1533-position model. The record is from RNAcentral.